UACGAAGGGGGCGAGCGUUGUUCGGAAUUACUGGGCGUAAAGGGCGCGUAGGCGGUCCUUCAAGUCAGGCGUGAAAGCCCCGGGCUCAACCUGGGAACCGCGCUUGAGACUGGCGGACUCGAGUUCGGGAGAGGAUGGUGGAAUUCCCAGUGUAGAGGUGAAAUUCGUAGAUAUUGGGAAGAACACCGAUGGCGAAGGCAGCCAUCUGGACCGACACUGACGCUGAGGAGCGAAAGCCAGGGGAGCAAACGGG
This 253-nucleotide ribosomal RNA is filed under the name uncultured bacterium. RNAcentral describes it as "partial 16S ribosomal RNA". It matches the Rfam family "Bacterial small subunit ribosomal RNA", at positions 524 to 776 of the family's 1533-position model. The record is from RNAcentral.